UACGUAGGUGGCGAGCGUUGUCCAGAUUUACUGGGCGUAAAGGGAGCGUAGGCGGACUUUUAAGUGAGAUGUGAAAUACCCGGGCUUAACUUGGGUGCUGCAUUUCAAACUGGAAGUCUAGAGUGCAGGAGAGGAGAAUGGAAUUCCUAGUGUAGCGGUGAAAUGCGUAGAGAUUAGGAAGAACACCAGUGGCGAAGGCGAUUCUCUGGACUGUAACUGACGCUGAGGCUCGAAAGCGUGGGGAGCAAACGGGAUUAGAUACCCUGGUA
RNAcentral lists this ribosomal RNA (269 nucleotides) under uncultured prokaryote. RNAcentral's name for it is "partial 16S ribosomal RNA". It matches the Rfam family "Bacterial small subunit ribosomal RNA", at positions 524 to 792 of the family's 1533-position model. The record is from RNAcentral.